Molecule: unclassified non-coding RNA, 909 nt
Filed under: Hevea brasiliensis (rubber tree)
Lineage: Eukaryota; Viridiplantae; Streptophyta; Magnoliopsida; Malpighiales; Euphorbiaceae
Source: RNAcentral
ACUAAUUAGGAAUACAAAUCAUAUAUCUAUUCAGGAAUAUAAAACUUAUACAAAAUAGGAAUGCCAACGCAACGCAACUCACAGGGUUGUACUUCCCUCUCCAAAGGCGAUGCCAACAAGGAAAAACAACAAACAAAAGGUGAAUCUUUAUCCAAGAGCUCACAGGGUUGUGAUACAGUAGCUGUCCAAACCCAAACACUCAAAGAAGAAUAAAAGGUAUAAUCAAAAUAAGACCUCCGGUAAACAGCAAACACAGAACCCAAAGCAUAGGACUUUUCAACUUUCAGGAAAUACCCAAGUUGAUGCUAAAGGAGAAGACCAGAGUUGGAAAAGGAAAAGUGCUCUCAAGAACUGGAAGCAGCAAAUAUAUUAUUGAAAUAGACAAGCUGAAACACUUGAAGCUUGAAAUUGUUCACAAGAACCAAGGAGUGCUUUCAAAAGCCAGAAAUCAAUAAUUGUAUCAUUGAAACCCAACAAAAAGGCUAAAACCCAAAAGAGCCAAAACUCCAUAACUCAAGAAACACCCAAAGUGCAAAAAUACCCAAAAAAUCCACAGAAGAAUACUUUCAGGGACUGCACGUAACAAAGAGAAUGACCUGAAGGACAACCGCUGACUCACGCACCUCCACUAGCCAGCAUGUGAGACAGAGCCUGAUCUGGAAACAAGGCGCGUGGGAGCUACUCGCCAGCCUUCAAGUGCCCGGACUUCCUGGGAAGGCCGACUGGCCGCCAAUAAAUCCUCCUAGGUUUGUGGUGAGACAAAAGCAUCACUCUAAAUUGAUGACCUAGGGUAGCAGUAGCUUCUCAAACAGGAAAAGCUUAAAAAAACAGGGGAGAAAAACCAAUAAGACCAGACAGAAAACCUACUAGAAACAAAUCAGGCUCUGAUACCAUGUUAAGAUUUAAGAA